AUCCAGACUCCUACGGGAGGCAGCAGUGGGGAAUAUUGCACAAUGGGGGAAACCCUGAUGCAGCGACGCCGCGUGAGCGAUGAAGUAUUUCGGUAUGUAAAGCUCUAUCAGCAGGGAAGAAAAUGACGGUACCUGACUAAGAAGCCCCGGCUAACUACGUGCCAGCAGCCGCGGUAAUACGUAGGGGGCAAGCGUUAUCCGGAUUUACUGGGUGUAAAGGGAGCGUAGACGGCUGUGCAAGCCAGAUGUGAAAGCCCGGGGCUCAACCCCGGGACUGCAUUUGGAACUGUGUGGCUGGAGUGUCGGAGAGGCAGGCGGAAUUCCUAGUGUAGCGGUGAAAUGCGUAGAUAUUAGGAGGAACACCAGUGGCGAAGGCGGCCUGCUGGACGAUGACUGACGUUGAGGCUCGAAAGCGUGGGGAGCAAACAGGAUUAGAUACCCGUGUA
Molecule: ribosomal RNA, 446 nt
Filed under: uncultured bacterium
Lineage: Bacteria
Description: bacterial SSU rRNA
Rfam family: Bacterial small subunit ribosomal RNA
Source: RNAcentral